GAUUACCUUAGUAACGGCGAGUGAAGCGGUAACAGCUCAAAUUUGAAAUCUGGGUCUUUUAGGCUCCGAGUUGUAAUUUGUAGAAGAUGCUUUGGGUGCGGCCCCGGUCUAAGUUCCUUGGAACAGGACGUCAUAGAGGGUGAGAAUCCCGUAUGUGAUCGGUGGCUUGCGCCCGUGUAAAGCUCUUUCGACGAGUCGGGUUGUUUGGGAAUGCAGCUCUAAAUGGGUGGUAAAUUUCAUCUAAAGCUAAAUAUUGGCCAGAGACCGAUAGCGCACAAGUAGAGUGAUCGAAAGAUGAAAAGCACUUUGGAAAGAGAGUUAAACAGUACGUGAAAUUGUUGAAAGGGAAGCGCUUGCAACCAGACUUGCGCGGGGUUGAUCAUCCGGGGUUCUCCCCGGUGCACUCGGCCUCGCUCAGGCCAGCAUCGGUUUUGGUGGUUGGAUAAAGGCCUUGGGAAUGUGACUUCUUUCGGGGAGUGUUAUAGCCCUCGGUGCAAUGCAGCCUACCGGGACCGAGGACCGCGCUUCGGCUAGGAUGCUGGCGUAAUGGUUGUAAGCGACCCGUCUUGAAACACGGACCAAGGAGUCUAACAUCUAUGCGAGUGUUUGGGUGUCAAACCCAUACGCGUAAUGAAAGUGAACGGAGGUGAGAACCCUUAAGGGUGCAUCAUCGACCGAUCCUGAUGUCUUCGGAUGGAUUUGAGUAAGAGCAUAGCUGUUGGGACCCGAAAGAUGGUGAACUAUGCCUGAAUAGGGUGAAGCCAGAGGAAACUCUGGUGGAGGCUCGCAGCGGUUCUGACGUGCAAAUCGAUCGUCAAAUUUGGGCAUAGGGGCGAAAGACUAAUCGAACCAUCUAGUAGCUGGUC
Molecule: ribosomal RNA, 866 nt
Filed under: Pezicula cinnamomea
Lineage: Eukaryota; Fungi; Ascomycota; Leotiomycetes; Helotiales; Dermateaceae
Description: eukaryotic LSU rRNA
Rfam family: Eukaryotic large subunit ribosomal RNA
Source: RNAcentral